GUGGCUUUAAUUGCUUUUCGUGAAUGUUAAUCACAUUGAUCAUCUUUUCUUAUGCUUACUUAAGUAUAUAUGCUUAAGUCUGUAUAUCUUCUUUGAAGAGAUGUAUUUUUAUUUGUUUUUUUAUUUUCUAGUUGAGUAGUUUGAUCUUUCAUUGUUGAGUUUGAAAGUUUUUAUAUACUUUUUAUAUUCUAGUCCAUUAUUGGAUGUGAAGUUUGCAAGUAUUUAGUUCAUCUGUAAAUGGUUUUUAAUAGUGUCUUUUGUAAGGAAAACAUUUUUAAUGUUGAGGAACAUGCAGCUUAACAGUGUUUUCUUUUUAUUACUUAUUCUUUUGAUGUCAAUUCCAAUAUCUCUGCCUACCCUUAGAUACUGAAAAAAAAUUCUCCAUAUUUUCUAAGAGUUUUAUAGUGUUUGCUUUAUAGUUGACACUGUGACACAUUUUGAGUUGAUUUUUGAUAUUUUUAUAAGAUGUGAGACUUAAGACUUUUUUUGCCAAUGGAUAUGCAAUUUAUACAUCAGUAUUUGUUGAAAAUGUUAUUCUGCUUCAUAGAGUUAAUUUUGUAUCUAUAUAAAAAAUCAGCCGAGCAUAUUUGUGUGACACUAUUACCAGGUUCUCUUGUAUUUUGUUGCUGUAUUGUUCAGUAAUACACAUAGCCCUCAUUAAUACUGCUAUAUGAUGUUUUAAAAUCAGGAAGAUUGUUUCCUCCCUCAUUAUUCUUGCUUUAACUACUCUAGUUCUUUUGAUGCUGCAUAUGAACUUUAGAAUCACAUUAUCUACAUCCACAAGAAAUCUUGCUCAUAUCUUGAAAAGAAUUGCAUUAAACCUGCAACUCAGGAGGCUGAGGCAGGAGGGUUGCAAAUUUCAGGCCAGCCUCAGCAAUUUAGUGAAGCCCUGACAAACUUAGUGACAUUCUGUCUCAAAAUAAAAAAUAAUGACUGGGGAUGAGGCUCAGUGAUUAAGCACCCUGGAUUCACUCUCUAGUACUUCAAAUAAAUCAAAACAGUAACAACAACCCCUCUGCCCCCCCCAAAAAGAAGGAGGCUCCAGAAAACCAUAAAAAAGAAUUUGUAAUGGUGAACAUUCAAAUAAGAAUUAUUGAAUAUGCAGGAAAAUGUCACACUUGAAUAU
This 1126-nucleotide long non-coding RNA is filed under the name Marmota monax (woodchuck). Lineage: Eukaryota; Metazoa; Chordata; Mammalia; Rodentia; Sciuridae. The record is from RNAcentral.